This 386-nucleotide ribosomal RNA is filed under the name uncultured bacterium. RNAcentral's name for it is "bacterial SSU rRNA". It matches the Rfam family "Bacterial small subunit ribosomal RNA", at positions 28 to 417 of the family's 1533-position model. The record is from RNAcentral.
GACGAACGCUGGCGGCGUGCUUAACACAUGCAAGUCGAGCGGUAAGGCCCUUCGGGUACACGAGCGGCGAACGGGUGAGUAACACGUGGGUGACCUGCCUCUAGCUCUGGGAUAAGCCUGGGAAACUGGGUCUAAUACCGGAUAUGACUCCACGGCGCAUGUUGUGGGGUGGAAAGCCUUGUGUGGCUAGAGAUGGGCCCGCGGCCUAUCAGCUUGUUGGUGGGGUGAUGGCCUACCAAGGCGACGACGGGUAGCCGGCCUGAGAGGGCGACCGGCCACACUGGGACUGAGACACGGCCCAGACUCCUACGGGAGGGCAGCAGUGGGGAAUCUUGCGCAAUGGGCGAAAGCCUGACGCAGCGACGCCGCGUGAGGGAUGACGGCCU